Molecule: ribosomal RNA, 427 nt
Filed under: uncultured bacterium
Lineage: Bacteria
Description: bacterial SSU rRNA
Rfam family: Bacterial small subunit ribosomal RNA
Source: RNAcentral
UGGGGAAUUUUGGACAAUGGGGGCAACCCUGAUCCAGCCAUGCCGCGUGAGUGAAGAAGGCCUUCGGGUUGUAAAGCUCUUUCGGCCGGGAAGAAAUCGUGGUCUCUAACAUAGGCCAUGGAUGACGGUACCGGACUAAGAAGCACCGGCUAACUACGUGCCAGCAGCCGCGGUAAUACGUAGGGUGCGAGCGUUAAUCGGAAUUACUGGGCGUAAAGCGUGCGCAGGCGGUUUUGUAAGACAGAUGUGAAAUCCCCGGGCUUAACCUGGGAACUGCGUUUGUGACUGCAAGGCUAGAGUACGGCAGAGGGGGGUGGAAUUCCUGGUGUAGCAGUGAAAUGCGUAGAGAUCAGGAGGAACACCGAUGGCGAAGGCAGCCCCCUGGGCCUGUACUGACGCUCAUGCACGAAAGCGUGGGGAGCAAACA